UACUGCUCACACCCACAGUCAAAGUUUGCUGCAAAAAAACUUUAGAGAAUACUUUUUUUCCCCUCAUUUUUUCCAGCUUUGGGCCUGAAAAUCUGAGUGGGGGUGACUACUUACUUUGGGGUAUUUCUGUAUUCCUCUUCAGCUCCUGACAAUAUCAUAAACUCUAUCUUGUGUUUCCCUACUAGAUUUUCAUUUUAUAGAUGAGGAAAUUGAGGCACAGGGGAAUGACAGUAAUUCUGUGAUAGCCAGGCUUAGAAUUUGGUUGUCUGCUUCACAGCCCUUGCAAUUAGAUUUUACUUUGGGUUCUUUUGCUAAAAGUGGGAAAAUGUGGUUUUGUUGACAGAAUGUAGGGCUGGAAUCAGGAAAUCUGGAUUCUUCUUGGCUUCACAGUCAACUAACUUCUCUGAACUUUGUGUAUGUGUGGGUUUUUUUUUUUUUUUUAGGGCUGCACCUGUGGCAUAUGAGAGUUCCCAGGCUAGGGAUCUAAUCGGAGCUGCAGCUGCGGGCCUAUACCACCUCCACAGCAAUGCCAGAUCCUUACCCAUUGAGUGAGGCCAGGGAUCAAACCCAUCACCUCACAGAUACUAGUCAGGUUCUUAACACACUGAGGCACAACAGGAACUCCUGAGCUUUAGUUUUUCCGCUUACUUCAUUGACUGGCUAGGGGGAAAUUAGAUCAGGUAGGUAAAGUGAGAAAUUUUAAUAUAAUAGCAAGCCGGUUAGGUAGACUCCUGUGUUGUCUGGGGUAGAGGUGGGGAGAUUACUUAUUUGAGUAAAGAAAAGUCAGAUAUGGCUGUGGAAACCUCAGUGGCCUUGAGGCCUAGGGAGUCUCUAAUCUGCCCCAUUGCUCUAGCCUCCGUCGUCUGGAAGUUGAGUGGUAGGGAGGGGAUGGGAUACCAGUAGGAAAGCUAGCUGAAAAUUGUGUGGGCAGCUCUUUGCCUUGCUGGUACUUGGGGAUGAUGUGGACAGUUCAGGUGGCAGUGACCUGCAUCAGAGUCCUUCAUUAGUACUUUCUGUACUUUCCAGAAGAGUUACUCUGUGGUGUGCUUUUGUGGGGCUGUUGGUGGGUGUUGGGUGAGUGCUCUGGGGAUAGGAAACCAAGCUACUCCAACUGGUUUCUCUUCAGGAGGCAAACCAGUUACUUCAUCUUUCUUCUCAGGAACCUCAUAGCCACAUCCCAACAGUAUUACUGACAAAAGCCUUGCUUCCUACAGAGAUGUCAAGUCUGUUACAUUUGGGCAGAAAAAACUCUUUCCAGUGUUGUCCUGUUCACACUUGUUUUAGUUUCUUAUUGCUUCUGUAACAAAUGACUGCACAGUUAGUGGCUUAAAAUAACACAAAUUUAUUGUCUUAUAGUUCCAGGGGUUAGAAGUCUGAAAUCCUUAUCACACAGUUAAAAUCAAAGUGUUGGCUAUAUGGCUUUCAUUUUGCAGGUUCUGGGGGAGAGUCUGUUUCCUUGCCUUUUCCCACCUCUUGGGGCUGCCUGCAUUCCUUGCCUUGUGGUCUCUUCCACCAUCUUCAAAACCAACAGUGUGUUUGUUGAGCCUUUCUUGCUGUGACACAUCUCUGAUUCUGACUCUUUUGCCCCUCUCUUCUCCACUUAGACUCUUGUGACUACGCUAAGCCUACCAGGAUAAUCCAGGAUAGUCUCCCCAUCUCAAGAUCCUUGACUCAAUCACAUAUGAAAAGUCCAUUUUGCCAUAUAAAGUAGCAUAGUCACAUGUUCCAGGGAGUAGGAUUUGGGCAUCUUUUGAGGGGGUAUUAUUUUGCUACCACUGUACCCCAGUGGUUAUUAGUUACCUAUUGCUUCUUAACAAGUUACCUCCAAAUUUCAUGGCUCAAACAAUGACCACUGACUGUUUCACCAUUCCUAUUGCUAAGAAAUUUGUUACCCCUGGCUGAGAGUCUCUCAUGAGGCUGUAGUUGGCAGGAGCUGUAGACAUCUCAAGGCUUGAUGGGGGAGGAUUCGCUUCUAAGUUCACUCACACGGCUGUUGGCCACCCUUGGGUUGUUGUAGGCUGUUGGCUAGAGAUGUCCAUUCCUUGGCCUCUCCAUUCAGCAGUAGCUCACAAUAUUGCAGCUGAACUCCUCCAGAGUGAGAGAAUAUGAGAGAAAAAGAGAGCACAGAAGAUGGAAGCCACAGUGUUUUUAUAACCAAAUAUUGGAAGUGACCUUCCAUUACUUCUGCCAUAUUCUAUUAGCAAUGAGUCAGUAAAUCCAGCCCACACUCAGAGAGAGUAGAUUACAGAAGAGUAUCAUCAGAAAGUGGGGAUCAAAUUUGGGGCCAUUUUAGAGGUUGCAUAAUCCAGCAAUCACACAUAGCACUUCUCUUAGGGAAGGGUGAUCCCUUGUGAUCAGAGAUGAGACCUCCAAGAUUUCAGGAGGAGAAAUAAGACUUUAAAGACCCCAUCUCAAGGCAUAGGAGAGUGAGAUAUUGGGGAGGGUGUGGUUAGGUAGGUGGUUGUAGAACUUUCUUCCAUCUAAGUCAGUGAUUCUCUAACUUAGGAGGUAUAUUGGAAUUAUCUAGAAAGCCAGAUAAAAGGCCAACACCUGAGCUCCAAAAUAAUAGGUUCUUAUUCCGUUGGACUGGGGUAGAAUCCAUAAAUCUGCCUUUUUAAAGAGAACUCUCAAAGCAAUUCUGAUUUGCAUCAAAGAUUAAGAAACUUUGAACUGAAGAGUUUGCUGAUGUCUAAAAGAUGGGAUUUGGAGAUACCAUGGAACUUUUUGAAGUCUAAAUCUUCCAGAUAAUGAUGAUGAUGAUGAUAAGAAUUAUUAUUUAUGUGAAUACAUAAUACUUGGCAGGCACUAUCUCAUGGGUCUCAGUUUCUCCAUUUACAAAAUGAAGAGAAGGAUAUCAAUCCAACAGGGAGAGAGUAAAGCCUAAAUGAUUUAAGUAUGUAUGAACUUGGUAAAUGUUUGAUUUACACCAGCCCCAUUCUGUUUUGGCCAUCCCUGUGCUCCUUUUGGGGAGCUGAAAUACAAUAGAUCAUACCCAUCCCACUGCACUAGCACAUUGGAAAUGCUAGAAAAGGGUGAGUGAACUCAGAGACACCACCAAUGGACAUUGUGUAGUGACCACAGGUCCGAUGGGCUUCCCAGCAGGCCAUAAUGCAGGCCUGGGCUGGGGUGAGGCCAGUUUGUAUGGUGUACCAGGUCUUCCAAUAAAAAAGGCUUGGACCAGCAGCCCAAGCCAAGAGCAAUGAUCAGGCUACUUUUACUUCCAGGUGAUAGAGCUGAAUCUGUUCCUCUUCUUAGAGGAGCAGUCUGUGCCAGGCAUGGCUGUACCUCUGAGGCCCCGGCUACUUCUUGCCAUGAUGAAUGAACUUUGUUGACAAUUAUUCCCAGCCUUCCCAGACUUAUUAGGCUUCUCCAGAGCUACUGGGUAGUCUGGCCUUGGGUUAGGGUGGAUGUGACUUUUUGUGGGCAGGACUAUUGGCCCCCUGCUUACAUCAUCACUUGGUUCAAGCAGAGGCAUGCCUGUACUAGUCUCCUCUCGUAGCCCUAAGUAGAAAAGUAGAAAGGGCUGGUGGCCUAAGCCAUCUUAUUUGUUCUUGCAUUAGUAGGGAAACUGAGGCAGAGUGUAGGGCCUUCUGCACUUACAGAGGGCAUGAGCUUUGGCUACAUUUGGGAAUUUCCAAGCCUCCUGGAAACUAUAGCCCAGUGAAGAUACUCAUGAACUGACUGUUCUCUGUGUUCGUUUCUGCCAGAAGCUGGGUGCCUAGGAACUGGUAACAAGGAGAAAGAAGUUAUGUAGUUCUAGUUUCAAAGAGUCCAGGUUCAAGACUCAAAAGAGUUUUGCAAUAUUGCAGGGGAAAAAAGCACCCUUUAAAUCCUGUUUUUGCCAUUAAUUUGCUGUGUUACUUUAGGCAAGUUCACUUAACCUGUCUCAGUCUUCGUUUUCUUAUUUGUGACAUGGAUGUAUCAGUCAGCCUAGGCUCAUGCUGCAGUAACAAACAACCCUCAAAUCCCAUUUGCUUAAUACAGCAAAGAUUUAUUUAUUUAUUUAUUUAUUUAGUCUUUUUGCCUUUUCUAGGGCUACACCCGCGGCAUAUGGAGGUUCCCAGGCCAGGGGUCCAGUCGGAGCUGUAGCCACCGGCCUACGCCACAGCCACAGCAACUCGGGGAUCUGAGCCGUGUCUGCGACCUACACCACAGCUCAUGAGCAAGGCCAGGGAUCAAACCCACAAUCUCAUGGUUCCUAGUCAGAUUCGUUAACCACUGAGCCACAACGGGAUCUCCAGAUUUAUUUCUUAUUCAGUUUUUGUGUCCAUCUUGGGACUGCUGAGAGUUCUGCUACCUCUUGUCUUUAUUCUAGGACAGAGAAGGACAAAAAUAGUUACCAUCAGAAACAUCGCCAAUUUCUUUGGCAGUGGGACAGAGACUGGAGGCAAAUGAUGGUACACUGGUUCUAAUAGCUUCCACCUGGGGGUAACACUCAUUAUUUUGCUUGUGUUUCAUUGGUUAGAACAAGUCACAGGGUCACCUCUAACUCCAAGGAUGUAGGGUUCAGUCUUACCACAUGCCCAGAAAGUGGAAGAUUUGGAAAGGUUUGAAUCUCAGUGAAUAUUGUCAACUUUCCCACAAGGUUAUUAUAAAGAUUAAAGGAGAUAAUGAAUAAAAAAAUCACUUUGCAAAUAAUAGACACAAGUAAUAUGUUUUUCAAGUAACAUUUAGGGGGCAGUGUUUAUGUAACUAACACCCUGGUAGAUAUUUUGUAAUAGGUGCACGCCCCAGACAGAACUCUGGAAGGGAGUGGCUCACCUGGUUUUGCUCCCUCUUGGCACUGGAGUCUUAACUGUAAAUCAUCAGGUAGGGCCCACUAGCGCAGGUAUGUGUGUGGAACAAGAGCUCUUCUUCAUUGGAGACUGUCCAGAGUAUUUCUUGGGAAGGACUUACUCUUGUCACAGCCGACCAAUGAUCUCCACAAACAGAGAAAACAUAGGCUGUCCUGAUGUUGGUCUCUGCGUACUCCUUACUAAGGAACAGGUUGGGCCUCUGGGCUCAGUGGAUUUGAGACUGGUGGCAGUCUGGUGUGGACUCUGGUCCCAGGGCCCCUCUGUACUCCUGUUGUCUGGGAUCCAUUCUGUGCUGAGAUACCUGCUUCUUGCUUUGAGGCCCUUGAAGUGGGAAUUCUUUGGCAAUCGGGGAAGGUCCUGUGAUAUUAAAGUUGCCAGUCCCCAUCAGUGGCUUCUCUGGAAGGAAGAAAAACCCUUUGAGGGAGUUCUUCUAUGGUGCAGCAGGUUAAAGAUCUGGUGUUACUGCAGCAGCUUGGGUU
RNAcentral lists this long non-coding RNA (5275 nucleotides) under Sus scrofa (pig). Its description in RNAcentral is "lncRNA (ENSSSCG00000057907.1, ENSSSCG00110010397.1)". Lineage: Eukaryota; Metazoa; Chordata; Mammalia; Artiodactyla; Suidae. The record is from RNAcentral.